Schistocerca piceifrons (Central American locust) is the source of this 223-nucleotide long non-coding RNA. RefSeq lists it as uncharacterized. The transcript has 4 exons. The record is from RefSeq and is a predicted model, not a curated record. NCBI's taxonomy places the organism in Eukaryota, Metazoa, Arthropoda, Insecta, Orthoptera, Acrididae.
CAGGAGGUCGCCCACCCGCAUCGCCCGGCCGCCGUCCCCCUGGACCGCUGGCUGCUGGUGCUGACUGUCCGCUCCUCUGAUGUCAUGCUGACAGACAGACUUUCAGACGAACUUGGGGCUGACAGCAACAAAAAGUCGCGGAAAAUAUAAAUAAGGUGGGCCUAGAUGUGUGCGCGGCGUGGCGGUCGCGGGGGCGGAAGCGGUGGCGGCGUCGGAGGCGGAG